RNAcentral lists this ribosomal RNA (563 nucleotides) under Debaryomyces sp. SZ8Y9. RNAcentral's name for it is "eukaryotic LSU rRNA". It matches the Rfam family "Eukaryotic large subunit ribosomal RNA", at positions 78 to 655 of the family's 3401-position model. Lineage: Eukaryota; Fungi; Ascomycota; Pichiomycetes; Serinales; Debaryomycetaceae. The record is from RNAcentral.
GCUUAGUUACGGCGAGUGAAGCGGCAAAAGCUCAAAUUUGAAAUCUGGCACCUUCGGUGUCCGAGUUGUAAUUUGAAGAAGGUAACUUUGGAGUUGGCUCUUGUCUAUGUUCCUUGGAACAGGACGUCACAGAGGGUGAGAAUCCCGUGCGAUGAGAUGCCCAAUUCUAUGUAAAGUGCUUUCGAAGAGUCGAGUUGUUUGGGAAUGCAGCCUCUAAGUGGGUGGUAAAUUCCAUCUAAAGCUAAAUAUUGGCGAGAGACCGAUAGCGAACAAGUACAGUGAUGGAAAGAUGAAAAGAACUUUGAAAAGAGAGUGAAAAAGUACGUGAAAUUGUUGAAAGGGAAGGGCUUGAGAUCAGACUUGGUAUUUUGCGAUCCUUUCCUUCUUGGUUGGGUUCCUCGCAGCUUACUGGGCCAGCAUCGGUUUGGAUGGUAGGAUAAUGACUAAGGAAUGUGGCUCUACUUCGGUGGAGUGUUAUAGCCUUGGUUGAUACUGCCUGUCUAGACCGAGGACUGCGUCUUUUGACUAGGAUGUUGGCAUAAUGAUCUUAAGCCACCCAUCUU